This 628-nucleotide long non-coding RNA is filed under the name Malus domestica (apple). RNAcentral's name for it is "long non-coding RNA (MDOM_LNC011155)". The record is from RNAcentral. Lineage: Eukaryota; Viridiplantae; Streptophyta; Magnoliopsida; Rosales; Rosaceae.
UUCAAACAACCGUCUAUUUUAUAAUUCUUUAUUGAUAGAUUAUUUCUACACAAAAUAUUUCAAUUGGAAACAAUUACAUAAUUAUAGUUGGUAAACCCACACACAAUCCUAUUUCCUCACCCCAUCUUAUAUUCUCACCCCUCGUAAAAGCAUUAUUUUUCUACCCACAAAUAUCCCUAAAAUAUCCUUGCAUCAAUUUAACUAUUUUCCAAAAAUUUAAAGUUAAAGCUGAAAAUAACAAAUCACCCCACCCAACUAUACCACCAGAUCCCCACAUCGCCCCACACAAUUUGAUAGCAAACCCCUUUCACCAUGCGUCUUGAACCCACCCUUGAGCACCUUUUGCUUGUUGAGGGCUUCAGGUGUGACGCCGCGCUCUGUUGUCAGUGUAGGAGACUACGAAAAAAUAGUCUCAUCUUCGGUCUUCCCCCUCAUCGCAUUAAUAUCGACGAAGAAUCUGUUGGAUUUCCAAAACGCUUUUCCCUGACAAAUUUCAAUGACGUCAUUUGGAUUCAAAACAAAAGAAGUUCGGAAACGAGUUUUUAAAAUUUUGAUCGGAAAUGAUUCAGAGGAAAUGUGUUUCCUAAAAUUGAUGGUUGGGCUCUUCCCUUUUCUUCUUAUUUUUAUU